CAUGUAGGUAUCUGCCCUUUGGCCUGGAAUAACACGAGGAAACUUGUGCUAAUACCGGAUAAGUCUUUACGGAGAAAGCUUUAUGCACCAUUGGAUGAGCCUGCACUUGAUUAGUUUGUUGGUGGGGUAAAGGCUUACCAAGGCGACGAUCAGUAGCUGGUCUGAGAGGAUGAUCAGCCACAUUGGGACUGAGACACGGCCCAAACUCCUACGGGAGGCAGCAGUGGGGAAUAUUGGACAAUGGGCGCAAGCCUGAUCCAGCAAUGCCGCGUGUGUGAAGAAGGUCUUCGGAUUGUAAAG
This 300-nucleotide ribosomal RNA is filed under the name uncultured Pelagibacteraceae bacterium. RNAcentral's name for it is "bacterial SSU rRNA". It matches the Rfam family "Bacterial small subunit ribosomal RNA", at positions 114 to 430 of the family's 1533-position model. Lineage: Bacteria; Pseudomonadati; Pseudomonadota; Alphaproteobacteria; Candidatus Pelagibacterales; Candidatus Pelagibacteraceae. The record is from RNAcentral.